GUAACGGGUAAGUACUUGUACUUAUGCUGACGAGUGGCGGACGGGUGAGUAAUGCUUGGGAAUCUGGCUUAUGGAGGGGGAUAACGACGGGAAACUGUCGCUGAUACCGCGUAAAAUCGAAAGAUUAAAGUGUGGGACCUUCGGGCCACAUGCCAUAGGAUGAGCCCAAGUGGGAUUAGGUAGUUGGUGGGGUAAAGGCCUACCAAGCCGUCGAUCUCUAGCUGGUCUGAGAGGAUGACCAGCCACACCGGGACUGAGACACGGCCCGGACUCCUACGGGAGGCAGCAGUGGGGAAUAUUGCGCAAUGGGGGCAACCCUGACGCAGCCAUGCCGCGUGAAUGAAGAAGGCCUUCGGGUUGUAAAGUUCUUUCGGUGAUGAGGAAGGUUGGCAUAUGAAUAGUAUGCCAAAUUGACGUUAGUCACAGAAGAAGCACCGGCUAACUCCGUGCCAGCAGCCGCGGUAAUACGGAGGGUGCGAGCGUUAAUCGGAAUAACUGGGCGUAAAGGGCACGCAGGCGGACCUUUAAGUGAGGUGUGAAAUCCCCGGGCUUAACCUGGGAAUUGCAUUUCAUACUGGGGGUCUAGAGUACUUUAGGGAGGGGUAGAAUUCCACGUGUAGCGGUGAAAUGCGUAGAGAUGUGGAGGAAUACCGAAGGCGAAGGCAGCCCCUUGGGAAUGUACUGACGCUCAUGUGCGAAAGCGUGGGGAGCAAACAGGAUUAGAUACCCUGGUAGUCCACGCUGUAAACGCUGUCGAUUUGGGGAUUGGGGUUUAACCCUGGUGCCCGAAGCUAACGUGAUAAAUCGACCGCCUGGGGAGUACGGCCGCAAGGUUAAAACUCAAAUGAAUUGACGGGGGCCCGCACAAGCGGUGGAGCAUGUGGUUUAAUUCGAUGCAACGCGAA
RNAcentral lists this ribosomal RNA (905 nucleotides) under uncultured Aggregatibacter sp. Its description in RNAcentral is "bacterial SSU rRNA". It matches the Rfam family "Bacterial small subunit ribosomal RNA", at positions 69 to 965 of the family's 1533-position model. Lineage: Bacteria; Pseudomonadati; Pseudomonadota; Gammaproteobacteria; Pasteurellales; Pasteurellaceae. The record is from RNAcentral.